Molecule: microRNA precursor, 204 nt
Filed under: Oryza nivara
Lineage: Eukaryota; Viridiplantae; Streptophyta; Magnoliopsida; Poales; Poaceae
Description: MIR812 microRNA precursor family
Rfam family: MIR812 microRNA precursor family
Source: Rfam by way of RNAcentral
AAAAAGUUCAGUUUUUAGUUUUUAUAUAAUGUUUGGCUCUUCGUUUUAUUUGAAAAAGUUUUACGAUUAAUAUUUUUAUUGUUGUUAAAUUAUAAAACAUGAAUAGUAUUUUAUAUGUGACUAAUUUUUUUUUCUUUUCUAUAUCUUUUUUAAAUAAGACGGACAAUCAAAGGUUAGACACAGAAAUCCAAAAAUAAACUUGUU